GUCCACAUAGCUUACACUAAAGCAUGGCACUGAAGCUGCCAAGACGGCGCCGCGAACAUGCCUGCGGACA
RNAcentral lists this transfer RNA (70 nucleotides) under Tadorna ferruginea (ruddy shelduck). RNAcentral's name for it is "tRNA-Phe". Lineage: Eukaryota; Metazoa; Chordata; Aves; Anseriformes; Anatidae. The record is from RNAcentral.